Manis javanica (Malayan pangolin) is the source of this 328-nucleotide long non-coding RNA. RefSeq lists it as uncharacterized. NCBI's taxonomy places the organism in Eukaryota, Metazoa, Chordata, Mammalia, Pholidota, Manidae. The record is from RefSeq and is a predicted model, not a curated record.
UCUGGACUGACCUACAGGAUCAAGGCUAAAGGAUCCUUUGGAGUUUAGGUUGGAAGGUUGCUUGUGAACAUGUAGUGCCAUCUGGGCCUGCCCAAGGGGCAUGGGUAGGGAUGUGGAAUGGGGCUGGCUCAGCAGGUGCAGUUAUUCCAUCUUUCGUGGAAUAAACAUUUUGGAUUCCUGAUCAUCUCCAGGGAUGCCUGGUGGCCAUCUCUUCCAGAUGGAGCAGCCUGAUUUGAAUGAGAGGUAUGCAUCUUGUCAAGAUUCAUUCCAGGGUGUGCGGCAGGAUCAGUGGUGCAAGCCCAGUUCUUGGCCAGAGCCCCAGUGUCCG